CUCUGCACAGGUUUUGAUACAUCUCCCCCCAUAACUCUAUGGAAACCUGGUAAUUGGUUCUGAAGCCACCAAAAUGUCACCCAAAAAUAGGAAAAGGUAGGCUUUAAGGAAUACUGAUUUAUAGGAUGCGGCAUACAAUGGCGCAGAAUGAAAUAGUAGACAGAAACACUACAUGCAUGUCUAGUCACAAGAUGAUGACAGACCCUAACAUACAACAAUGCAGCAAGUCUGCCUUCAACAUUGUGUAUUUUGGACAUCUGGAAGAUAACAUCAUUUCCAUCAAUGGAUCCAGAGCCAAGUAAAGAGGCAAAUUGGAAAUGGAAUCCCCAGUUUAUUAUUAAUGGAUGAAGUAGCCAAAUAAUUAUUUUUAUCAGGUCUUAAUAAGACCCUUACACUCUGAUCCUAGAUCCCUAAGAAUCAUGGUCCUACAUAGAUGUUUCCAGGAAAUGCGAUCAAAUGCCUCCAACUCCAACAUGCUACAGUAUUAGGAAACAAGCAUGGGCUCAGGUGAAGAGAUGGGAAAAGUCUCUUUGAAGAGUCAUUGUUAUGUCUCCUGCUUUCCAGAAGUCCUGACAACCUCAGCCUCAGUGCAAGAAAAAUGGUCUUCAUAGGUGGCCAUGUGAGAGUCUACGUCUAAUGGCUUGAGGAUGCUGAAUUCUUCCAGCAAGGAGCGGCUUGUUCCUGCAAUGAACUUCCUAUAACUAUUUCAGAAAAGCCAUAAGUAUUCAAUUAAGAAAUCAAAGCCCAGACGUGCUCAGUGAUAUACUGCAGGAUCUGCACUCCCCAUUGGAGCUUCAUGUCUCAUCAACUACAUCUACGAUCUGUUCAUUCUUGUGCGUGCCUCUUGUUCCCAUUUUCAAGAAACCAUUCAUGUCCUGUGUUUAGGCAGCUCUUUAACAUCGCUAUGAGUAUGUGCCAUCCCCUGCCUCAUCAAUCACUGGACUUUCCAUUGCCUUAUUCUUCCUUAGUUAGAUGGGGGAUGCAGAGUCUUCUCCUAUUAAAGGCAGGAAUUUUACAGUAUAUUCAGGAGUCAUGCAUCUUUAAGCAUAUUGAAUAUUACAAUUUGUUCAGGAAGCUGUAAUAUAUUCAGAACGGCUACGAAACGGCAAGAACAAGGCAUUCAAAUUCAAAAGUAAUAAAAAAAGAA
Molecule: long non-coding RNA, 1147 nt
Organism: Hyla sarda
Lineage: Eukaryota; Metazoa; Chordata; Amphibia; Anura; Hylidae
Exons: 4
Source: RefSeq, a predicted model, not a curated record